UGGAAGCUGCUCGAAGGGCUCCCGGAGCCUUCUCUUCUCCGGGCUGAACCACCCCAGCUCUCAGCGGGGCCUCACAGCAGAGGGGCUCCAGCCCUCGGGUCACCUCCGUGGCCUGUGAUCACAAAAUCACAGGAUUGUUUGGGUUGGAAGGGACCUUAAAGAUCAUCCAAUUCUUGCCCCGUGCCAUGGGCAGUGAAGCCGUAGGUCUGCCCAUCCUAAGGGGCUGACACACCUCGCAACGAAAGCAAUGGCAGUGAAAGUUGCAGACAGAGCCCUGGAAAGUGAUGCUCCGUUUUAUAAUGCACAGUAGGAACUUACAGUCUGUCUAAGAGAAGCCGAAUGUGGUGUUUAUGCUGCCUAGAGGGGCUCCUCUGGACUCGCUCCAACAGCUCCGUGUCCUUCCUGUGCUGAGGACUCCAGAACUGCAUGCAGGGCUCCAGGUGGGUCUCAUAGAGGGGCAGAAUCCCCUCCCUGCUGGUCCCACGGCUCUGGAUGCAGCCCAGGACAUGGGCUUCACAUCUCCAGGUCCCAAGUCCUUCUCCCCAGGGCUGCUCACAAUCUCUUCACCGUCUCUUUGUGCCAUCCCUACACAGAAGUUUGCGUCGUGUCUUGACACUGGUGGAACCCUAGUGUGUUGGAGUCCUGCUGGAUGUACACACGGUGCUACCUGACAAAUUGAGAUCCUGCUGUGCCCACAGCUAUCCAGCAGAGAUAUUGGUGCAGGAGGGCCCUGGGAUGGUGUCACAGCUUCCUGGGGUGAGCUAAGCUGAGGAGACCUGACCAGAUCUGACCAGAAGCGUUGAUGCCUUUCAUUUGUGCAACAACGACUGAUGCAGCUCUACUAAAAGGAAUGCGAUCCCUUGCAUGAGGACAGUGUUGAUGCCUUCUUCAAUCUACAUUGCUGUUUUGUCAGUGGGCAAACCUUCAUAUUUCCAACAUAGAAGGAGUGGUUGCUAUACACCACACUGUAUACACAGGCGUGAAAAUAAACCCAUUCAUUCCAAGAGAACAGAAGAGGUGGGGCUGGAAGAAGGUUUCCAGCCCUCUGAGCCAAAUAUUCGUCUGCUUAGGCCAAAAAAGCAGCCAGGCUCCCAAAGAGCAGCCACCUCCUUGGGCAUUGCCCACCAGCAGUUGUCACAAUACAUUGUAUGUUAUGCAUUUGGGAGAAAAGAAUAGCCAUGUAAUUGCGAAGGUUUCAGGCUAAUUUUAACUCUGUUAAACAGAAUUAAUGAAUCUGGCUCAGAAAAAUACAAGGCACCAGCUUCUUAAAUUUUUUUCAAAGCUUUUUAUAGCUUUCUAAGAGGAAAAAUUCCAGAAAAGCAACCCAGAGCUGCAGCUGCCUGAAACGUGAAGAAAUGGAUUUAUUUCUAUGAGCCUCUGACAUUUUUCUUGGAUGAGAAAGAAAGAUACAUAAGCCUCCCAGCACAAACAUUGAGAAUGUAGGAUCAAGACUCUGAUGGACUCAUUGUGUGUUUCACUCUGUGAGAUGGAGCAGAAGAACCUGAACAGUGGCUUUUGGCCCCUCCUUUAUGUAUCUUUGGUAAUUGUUUUCAAGAGCAAUGGUCUGUCUGCUUUCAAGUCUAAAAAUUCCCCUGUGUGUACCAUCAAGAGAUGUUUGCUGCUUGGCGCUGUGGAUUCAGGAGAGACAAGAAACUCAUCUAGUAGCACAGCAGAACUCAAUGAUGGGAGCAAGGAAGAAAGGGUAAGAAGAAAGGCAGACAGUCCUCUUUUUAUCUUGGGCACUUUUGGCUGGCUACAGACUUAUCAGAAUGAGAUGUCCAGCCUAAGUUAUACCAAUAAGCUAGAGAACUGAGUACAAGAAUUAUGUGCAGCCUGGAUCUACCUGUGGGUUCCCACUGUAGAGACCCAGUCUACAGCUUGCAUCAUCCUCGGAGAGCUUCUGUUCCUUAGAGUAAGUCCAUCGUGUUGCCAUGGAAAGGGAAACUAUAGGAAUAGUUUUGUGCAAUAUCUCUGUAGGACCAGGAGGGUCCAUGUGUUGAAGCCUGCACUCCAGGCUAUGCCAGAUUCCUGGACUAUUGGUCUGCACACACUGCCAGCUCCUCUGAGACCAGAGCUCUGCGGAGUUGAGCAGAUCACAGCUUGCUUCUCUUCCAGGCUUGCAACAAGGAAGACAGUGAGAAUAUCACUUGUUCCCCAGAAGUCUGUGUUCUGUAUUGAAGGGCUGGGCUGCGCUGGCUCAGUUAGGAACUGGGAACACAAGGUAAAGUUCCCAGCACACAAGUGAGGUGGAGGGGCCAGUGCCCAAAACUUGCAGGGACUCCUAACAGUAAUUCCUUGCCGCAAAGCCCAAUUGCAUGCAUUUAUUUUCUCCUCCCUGCCAUCUUUUCUCCCAGUGAGCCUUCAGAAACACUUUCUAGGGAUUCAUGAAAACACAUGGUGAUAAAAGAGUUUAUCAGAAGUCCUUUUGGUUUGUGAAAAUGUUCUCAUAAAUAAAGAAAGGUGAGUUGCACAGAUAUUUGCAAGAGUGCAUAGGUGGAACCGCAGAGGUAGGCUGGAGGACAAUGUUGAUUUUAUUCAGGUAAGCAGGUACAGAUACUUUUACAAUCUGCACACGGCUGGCAUCCUGCUUGUACAUUCAGACAUAUAUAUACGUGCUCAUGUGUAUAUAUAAAGAAGUGAGAUGGGUCAGUGCACACUGAGGACCAUUGUGUCAAAAACAUCCUGACAAAAUGGGAAGCAAGGCUGGCAAGAAGUGACAGCAGUAGCUCCUGGUGAAGGUCCUGAAUGCAAAACCGAGGGGUUGGUUCCUAUUUCUGGUCACUGCUAUGGAAAAGCACUCUCCCCCUAUUGUCCCCUCCCUCUCCUCUCUUAUUUUUGGCCAGGGUUUCCUCAAAAAUCUAUCUAUGCCCCCCUAAGUAGAUUGCAAACUCUUCUGAGCCAGGGGUUGGUCUAAAUUGGCAAUACCUGCCAUAAUGAGGAUUUGCUCUCAGAGUCAUUCCUAACAUCAGUACCUCUUGAGAUACUGCCUUAAAUUCCUCAGGUUUCUGGGAAUCCAAGACAACUGGGGAGAUAUUUCUCCCUUUGGAAAGGCUGUUGGACCGAAGCUGUAAGGAAUGGCAAAUCCAGCAGGGUUGAUUCUGUUGUGAUGGGUAUAUUGAUGACAGAAGUUUUGUUCUAAUGAGAACCAAUUGCAGGCGCCGUGUCUGCGAGCACAAAUACCCCAGGGAUGUGCAACUGGUCACAGGCAGACGGAGAGAAUGCGGAGGAUCGUUCUGGGCAAGUGAUGGUAACAACUCCUGGAAGAGCCCGCAGGAGCCCCCUCUGAAGCCUCCCACAAACACCACUAGCAGUGGGGGGUCUGCUGGACUCGCACACAGGAGUCAAAAGCCACAUGCAAUGGCCUGGAGGACCUCCAGCUUCCUGGGAACACAGCGAGUGCUGAGCGCUUCACAGGGAUAUAAAUAGGGCAGGCAUUUUAGCCCAGAAAUAAACAAAAAGUAAAGAUACUUGAUAAAAAUAAUUUACAGCAUCAUUGGAAAUUUCUAUAUAUGUGAUAAAAACCAUUUCCAAAUCCAAACCAAUCUCCUAAAGUGAAGACCAACUACAGAAAAAAACUAAUAACUAGAAGCUAUUUAGAAGGAACAGAAAGCAUCGUGAGAAUAGGGGAAUAAAGUAUAUCUCAAAUAGAACAAUAUAACGUUAUUGGCAAUACAACAGCGCACAAGCCUCUGGAGGUGUCAUGCUGUCUUCUUUGAUUAAAAGCUUGCACAGAAAUAUGAGCAUUAAUUUAGGAAAACUGUUUAUAUCUUCAGUCUCUCUAGAAUAUUAUUAAUUGAAGUAUGCAAAAUUAGGUCUUCAGAGCUCUUGCACAAUAUUGCAAGCAGCAAGGCUUUAUGCAAGAGGAUAAAACAAGGAUUUCAGGGGGGUUGGGAGAAGUAAUUAAGUUCUAUAGCUGGCAAGUGCAUUCAUUUACUGGAAUAACUUCCCCACCAAAGUGGACAUAGCUCUCUUUGUUUUACCUCUGCAGAUAUUUCCUGAAGGGAUGAUUAGCAGGGUGCUACAAUUAAUCCUAAGAAAGAAGCCACCCAACUACUAAGUGACCUGGCAAUCUGAACAGCUAUUUUGGAUCCUUAGGCUGUAGGACUUGAGCAUCACUAGCGAGACAAGCAGCUUCAGAGGCAGCAUCCCCCAGCCACGGGCAGAGGAUAGGUAAUAAAAAUGUGAUCUACCACAAUUUCCUUCCUUCAGCUGCCUGUGGAGGUAAAUUCUGAUUUUAAAUGAGUGAGGGUAGGACAGACCCAUACCUCUCUGAUUAUCUUUCCUUUAUUUAUGGCAUGAGAUCCACAAUGAGUUGUAUUUCUAGGUUGCUGGUGGUAUGAGAAUGGAGAAACGGUUAUACACUUAUCCCUCCUUUUAGGAUCUUAACCCAACAUCCACCAUCACUUCUUUAUCUUUUUAAAGUUUAAUUCAGAGCCUUCCUGCACAUCUAUCUUGGUACUUCUAGAUCUAUUCCUGGGUCUCAAGGACAGAAAGAGAAACCAGCAAAUAUCUCACGGUUUAUCCCUUGGAGCUAGGCUCUUUCUAAAGUCAUUCAGGCCGACCAAACAUCGAUAUCCAUCUGCAGAUGUUAAAGGAGUCAGGACUUGCAGAGCGGAGUCAUUAGGCAAAUUAGAGGUGUUAAUAAGAGCGGUGCCUCUGCCGUGUAGCAGGUGAACACAGCUGCACCUGGUUAGAUUUAUGGCUUCCUAAGUGAGGAGAUUUUCCCCCACAUGGCUACAAAAGCAGGCAGGAAGGAACUGCCAGAGGCAGACCAGGCUGGGAGAAGAGAACAAAGGAGCUGCAAGCUCUGAUAUCAGAGAGACGCUGGCUUCAGGCAGGUAAGAAUUCUCACCGUUUAGAGGAACUUCUUAAUUGGAGAGAAAACUAGAUUUCACAUAGCAAAACAACAAGGCUAGAGGAAAAUAAGGACUUUCUCUCCCCUUCUUUUUUUCCCCCUGUUUGGAUAAGUAGUAAAAAUAUUUAAAUGCUAUUUUAGAAGUCUGUUUAUUUCUUAAAUGAAUGGUCUCAUUUAAACUUGCAGACAGAGACACUUGGAUAUCAUCUAAUAUGUUGAAUUUUUUAAUAUCAAACUUUUAAUCCUUUGUCUUGGGAAGGGAGCAGCUUUCCCAGUACAGGAGAAUAUAGGGAUCUCCUUUGACCCUGAUGUCCACCGUCCACCACCUCAGGCAGGAGCGUUUGUGCUGAGGCUGCAGUUCUUCCCCCCCUCCCUCUCCUUCCCAGGAGUUUCUUCAGGUCUUAAGAAAAGCUACUUAACUGUUAGGAUCAUUAAAAUGUCAGUCUAGAAAUCAAAGAAGCGCACCAUAGGACUUGAGGUGCUUUUAAAAAGAAAUUAGGGUCACCUUGAGGUCUAAACACAACUAAGUUGUGCUCUAAUUUUCCCAGGACUGUCUUAAUGGAGGUUUAAGCUUUUAGGCUCUACAAGUCAAGCAAAGUGAUGGUAUUUCCCAUCUGAAGGUACUACUCAUCGUGAAUAAGGGUUGAAGACUAAGACCCAAAUGUGCAGCUGAUCCUGAGCAGAGAAGCAGCGGCUGGAAGCUCAAUGUGUGCUCAACUUCUAGCUGAAGUCAUUACAAUAAAAGUGAACUAGCUCAGGGAGUGCCCAGCACCCAAAUCCAAUUUUCAUGCUAACAUGUUGCUGAGAGUACAAAUUACAGAGAAUUUGCCAAUCCAAAGCUAAUGUUCAGAAGAGCCUUUCAGUUAGCAGUGCCGCCCUUCCAAUAAAGCACAUGUGCAAUAAAGCUUACACAAUUCUACUAAACACAGCAAAACACAAAGCAAAGUUAGUUGUAAGGAUGCUGGUAAGACGAUUUGUGUUCCAAAGCUGGGCCUGUGGAAAGAGACCAUUUUCAAAUGCUUACUCCCCAGAGGAGUGAGAAGUAUAAUAAAUUUUUGUGCAUAGUCAAGGGUGAGGGCUUUCUUGGUGGAAAGAAAGCCGGCUGGUUGGAUUUUACCUGUAGAGAGGAGAAAGCUGGGCACACUGUGAAACAAUAAAUUCUAGCAGAGCCUAAAGCGUGUCUGCUGAAGUUACUUUCCCCCACUAAUAAUUACAGUUCCCAGCAUGUAUGACAUGUUUACCUGCCUCCUUUGCUGCCAGAUUCACUUCCACAUUUCCUCCUGCCUGUUCCCUCUGAGAUGGUUUCACUGCUUGGGUAUUCCACCUGCCCUGCAGGGGAGGGCUCUGCUGGGAUGUGCCCUGCAAUGCACCCUUCCUCUCCGUGUGUGCAUCUGCAUCGCCAGCCUCUGGUGGAAAUCACUUCUGAGAUCAUAAUCUUGUUGCCUUUGAUAUUAAUUAUGGAUUAGUUGUCUAAAUAUGAUAUUGUAAUGUGCAACUAUAUCAAACCUCUCUGGGAUGGGAUGUAUGAAUACCUGUU
Cuculus canorus (common cuckoo) is the source of this 6392-nucleotide long non-coding RNA. RefSeq lists it as uncharacterized. The record is from RefSeq and is a predicted model, not a curated record. The transcript has 3 exons. NCBI's taxonomy places the organism in Eukaryota, Metazoa, Chordata, Aves, Cuculiformes, Cuculidae.